UACGAAGGGGGCUAGCGUUGCUCGGAAUUACUGGGCGUAAAGGGAGCGUAGGCGGACAGUUUAGUCAGAGGUGAAAGCCCAGGGCUCAACCCUGGAAUUGCCUUUGAUACUGAUUGUCUUGAGUAUGGGAGAGGUGAGUGGAACUCCGAGUGUAGAGGUGAAAUUCGUAGAUAUUCGGAGGAACACCAGUGGCGAAGGCGGCUCACUGGUCCAUUACUGACGCUGAGGUGCGAAAGCGUGGGGAGCAAACAGG
Molecule: ribosomal RNA, 253 nt
Filed under: uncultured bacterium
Lineage: Bacteria
Description: partial 16S ribosomal RNA
Rfam family: Bacterial small subunit ribosomal RNA
Source: RNAcentral